Quercus robur (English oak) is the source of this 1190-nucleotide long non-coding RNA. RefSeq lists it as uncharacterized. Lineage: Eukaryota; Viridiplantae; Streptophyta; Magnoliopsida; Fagales; Fagaceae. The transcript has 3 exons. The record is from RefSeq and is a predicted model, not a curated record.
GAAUUUAUUACCAUGAAUCUCAUCUUAGGGGGUUAUAUUCCGUGAGUCUAUCAAAAUUUCAUUGAACUUUUGGGUUGGAAAGAAAUUGAGAUUGGUGAUGGCCUUCCUAACAUCAGGUUGACAGGAAAAUGCCUUGAAGCUCUUAAGCAAGCUGGUUUUGAGGACAUGUGAGAGAGAGAUCUUGCAAUGGACUCACCUAUCCCCUGGUACUUGCCUUCAGAUAAAAGUCACUUGUCAUUGAGUAGUUUCCUUCUAACUGCUGUUGGGAGUUUCAUCACAAGAAACAUGGUCAAGACCCUGGAAUUUGUGGGACUUGCUCCAAAGGGAAGUGAGCUUGUUCAAAAUUUUCUAGUGCAAACUGCAGAAGGGCUAGUAGGAGGUGGAAAGUAAGUUUUUGCUGUAUCAUACUUAAUUCUCUUUGAGCUUAAUGCUAAGUUUUUGAUGUAUUGUUUCUGAGUAACACAAAGUUAGCAAUAAUUACAUAUUUAAUGAGGAAGUUUGUAGCCUCAUGCACAGGCUGCAAAUCUGGCAUUACAUCAGAUCCAUCUAAGUGGGGUUUCUCUAAUCCUGUAACUUGUGCAAGUGGAUAUUUUGAACUAAAUCAAUGGUCCUAAAUUUUGUAGUGCACCCAACCUUGCAAUGAUAAUUAAGAAGAAAUGGUGAAAAGGGAAAGAAUUGUUGAAAUUCUUUUCUUGUAGGAGUUGAAUCAUAAUUUCUUCUUUUUGAGUCAUUGCCUUAAUGUACUCAUGUACCCAUGAGCUGCUCCUAUGGUUAAAUUUCUGUCUUCCAGGAAAGAGAUUUUCACACCAAUGUAUUUCUUGAAGCCGCUUUCAGAUAAUCAGUAAUGUGGCAACCUAAACUAAUUAACCUGAUACCAUAGCCUAGGAAUCUUCCCAGGAAUUCUGACAGUUAGAAAUGAUGUUAGAAUAUGGUCUGACCAUGCUAGUUGACUUUGUAAUUUGAAGCUUGCUGAGUUCUGAGUUGCCAUUUGAAAGUUGUGCGUCUAUGUUUGGUUAUCUGUGGGUUCAUCUGUACGCCCCCAAUGGCUUGAGCAAUGUUUUAGCCUUCUGCUCCAUUGGGGCAGUGACUCUUUUAUCUUGUCUAUUGAAUGAAAAUUUUCCUCUCUGCCUAGGUUAGAGGUGCACACUUUUUGUUGUUGGUAAAUGUGUGACCAUAUCACUUUCACUGCU